Molecule: transfer RNA, 69 nt
Filed under: uncultured Bulleidia sp.
Lineage: Bacteria; Bacillati; Bacillota; Erysipelotrichia; Erysipelotrichales; Erysipelotrichaceae
Rfam family: tRNA
About the family: Transfer RNA (tRNA) molecules are approximately 80 nucleotides in length. Their secondary structure includes four short double-helical elements and three loops (D, anti-codon, and T loops). Further hydrogen bonds mediate the characteristic L-shaped molecular structure. tRNAs have two regions of fundamental functional importance: the anti-codon, which is responsible for specific mRNA codon recognition, and the 3' end, to which the tRNAs corresponding amino acid is attached (by aminoacyl-tRNA synthetases). tRNAs cope with the degeneracy of the genetic code in two manners: having more than one tRNA (with a specific anti-codon) for a particular amino acid; and 'wobble' base-pairing, i.e. permitting non-standard base-pairing at the 3rd anti-codon position.
Source: RNAcentral
CCUUAGCUCAGUUGGUCAGAGCUGUCGGCUCAUAACCGAUUGGUCGAAGGUUCGAGUCCUUCAGGGUCC